RNAcentral lists this unclassified non-coding RNA (230 nucleotides) under plant metagenome. Its description in RNAcentral is "partial contains small subunit ribosomal RNA, internal transcribed spacer 1, and 5.8S ribosomal RNA". The record is from RNAcentral.
UCUCCGUAGGUGAACCUGCGGAGGGAUCAUUACAGAGUUCUCGCCCUCACGGGUAGAUCUCCCACCCACUGUUAUCGUUACUGUCGUUUCUUUGGCGGGCCGCCGGGUCCCCGGCCGCCGGCGCCUAGCUGCCGGCGCGCGCCCGCCAGAGGCCUUCAAACUCUGAAUGUUAGUGUUGUCUGAGUACUAUAUAAUAGUUAAAACUUUCAACAACGGAUCUCUUGGUUCUG